CAAGGCCAGCCUGGUCUACAGAGCGAGAUCCGGGACAGGCAGCUACACAGAGAAACCCUGUCUUGGGGAGGAAAAAAGUUUCAGCAGCUUGUUUUCCACAUCGGUUUGUCUGUUACAGAAUGUUUAGGAAUGUUUUCAUCACCUAACAUCUCGCUCCUUGACCUCCCUCUGCUGGCGAGGAGAGGGACUCUGUCCUGGAGUGUUCGCGUCCCUUGUCCCCCCCAUCACAUCGCCCGAGAAAGCAAUACCAGACUCCAGACUGGAGUGUGCCCCAGGAAGGCACGGCUCCCCUUAUCACCCUGUAUCAGAGAUCGCCCAAGGAGACAACUGUUUAACGAAUGGACACCGGGAGCCACCUGUGUCUUAGCGAGUUCCUAGGCUUUGAAUCACUCCCACCUGGAGGGAGGAGGGAGGCUCACUGACUCCGGAAGCACAGGAAAUGUAGGAGCAAGAAGCUCAGAGAGUUAAAAAUUGACCAGCCUCCUACCCAAAGCUAUAAAAGCAUUAACUGGCUGGGAGAGGACUCUAGGGCUGCUCAGAAGGCGUCCGCGGAGCUCCAGGGAUCAGCCACGCUGGGACUUCAGGUAAUGCUGCUGCUGCCUCUGAGUCACCCAGCAAAGUCACUGGUUCAUCAAGCCAGAUGAAGUGGAAGCCUUUCUUUGGUCCGUCAGUCAUUCCACAGGCUUUCAGACACCCACAUGGCAGCUCACAACCACCUCAAACUCCAGUUCCAGGGGAUCCGAUGCCCUCUUCUGAGCUCAGCAGGCGCCAGGCACACAGCUGUGUUACUGUGCCUGUCUAAAACAUCUGAUGGCCUAAUAAAGAACUGAAUGACCAAUGGCAAGACAGGAGAAAGGAUACGUAUAAAGAUUACAUGGAGAAAUUUGGAAAAGAUCAAAGAACAAGAGAGGAAGGAGGACUCCAGGAGCCAGCCACCCAGCUACACAGCAAGCCAUGGAGUAACAUUUGCAGA
Molecule: long non-coding RNA, 973 nt
Organism: Peromyscus leucopus (white-footed mouse)
Lineage: Eukaryota; Metazoa; Chordata; Mammalia; Rodentia; Cricetidae
Exons: 3
Source: RefSeq, a predicted model, not a curated record